Molecule: long non-coding RNA, 856 nt
Organism: Chenopodium quinoa (quinoa)
Lineage: Eukaryota; Viridiplantae; Streptophyta; Magnoliopsida; Caryophyllales; Amaranthaceae
Exons: 2
Source: RefSeq, a predicted model, not a curated record
AUAAAAAAAAAUUUGCACCGCCCUAAGGCCACUGGAUUUUAAAAAUCGGUGGGGAAAAUAUGGGGUAAAAUAGGUGGGAUUUUGAGGGGAGGUUUUUGCCACCGGUUCAAACUAAACCGGUGGCAAAAAACAUUAUUUUCACCGGUUUGAACCGGUGGCUUUUCCUUUUAAAAAAAAAACGCCCCUUAUAAAAACCCAAACCCUACUCUCAAAUCACUCAACCUCCCUCAUUCUCUCUCCCCUCUCCUCUCUCUCCUGAUCUCAUCUCAUCUCCUCUCCUCUCCAGAUCUCAUCUCCUCUCCAAUCUCAUCUCCUCUUUCCUGCUCUCUCAUCUCACCACCACCGCUGCCGUCCCUCUUCUUAUCUUUCCUGCUCUCUCUUCUCACCACCACCGCCGCCGUCGACUUCUUUCCCCUCUCAAUCUCUCCGACCUCCCUUUCUCCCUCUUCUCUCCCCUCUAUCCCUCUUCUUUCCCCUCUCGAUCUCUCUGACCUCCCUCAUCUGUCUUCUGCACACCACCACCAGCGCCACUAACCACCGUCGCCACCAAGUCCGAAAUCAACCACAACUUGUAAAAUUCGAGGUUAUUUUCAGGUAAAAUUCGAGGUAUAAUGAUUUAUAUCUUAAAUUGAAGAAUCAAGAUGCAGGAAUAUUGAUAUAGCUGUUAUAUGGGUUUUUUUUAUUUUAAUGUUGUAACUUUUAUUUUUUGAUUUAUAUUUUUAUUUUUUUUAUUUGUAUGUUGUAAUUGUUAGAUUAUAUUGAUUUAUAUUGUAAUUUUGAUGUCCGUAAUUGUGAUCUAUAUCGAGCAAUUAGUAGAUUAGAAAACUGUUCAGUAAUAAAAUUAUGAUGUUGCGUU